This 419-nucleotide ribosomal RNA is filed under the name bacterium. RNAcentral describes it as "partial 16S ribosomal RNA". It matches the Rfam family "Bacterial small subunit ribosomal RNA", at positions 355 to 776 of the family's 1533-position model. The record is from RNAcentral.
UGGGGGAUAUUGCACAAUGGGCGAAAGCCUGAUGCAGCGACGCCGCGUGGGGGAUGAAGGCCUUCGGGUUGUAAACUUCUUUUGCUCUGAACACGGCAUGCUAAUGGGUGUGUUGAGUGUAGGGGUUGAUUAGCGCCGGCUAACUACGUGCCAGCAGCCGCGGUAAUACGUAGGGCGCGAGCGUUGUCCGGAAUUAUUGGGCGUAAAGGGCUUGUAGGUGGCUGGUUGCGUCUGUCGUGAAAGCUCAUGGCUUAACUGUGGGUUUGCGGUGGGUACGGGCUGGCUUGAGUGCAGUAGGGGAGGCUGGAAUUCCUGGUGUAGCGGUGGAAUGCGCAGAUAUCAGGAGGAAUACCGGUGGCGAAGGCGGGUCUCUGGGCUGUUACUGACACUGAGGAGCGAAAGCAUGGGGAGCGAACAGG